AAACGACUCUCGGCAACGGAUAUCUCGGCUCACGCAKYSAUGAAGAACGUAGCAAAAUGCGAUACUUGGUGUGAAUUGCA
This 80-nucleotide ribosomal RNA is filed under the name Sinacalia tangutica. Its description in RNAcentral is "partial 5.8S ribosomal RNA". It matches the Rfam family "5.8S ribosomal RNA", at positions 1 to 76 of the family's 154-position model. Rfam says of the family: 5.8S ribosomal RNA (5.8S rRNA) is a component of the large subunit of the eukaryotic ribosome. It is transcribed by RNA polymerase I as part of the 45S precursor that also contains 18S and 28S rRNA. Lineage: Eukaryota; Viridiplantae; Streptophyta; Magnoliopsida; Asterales; Asteraceae. The record is from RNAcentral.